UUCCUUCCUGACCAAUCAGUUCGUUGCUACAACAGACAGUAAACUGUGUUGGGUUUCUCUUGAAAGAAUAAAAAAAAAAUUGGCGUAUUCUCAGAAAAGUCAACCACAUUUGGUUUUAGUUUGCAUUGUAUGGUUGGUGUUAUGCCUUGGACCCUUUUCUCCAGAACUUUCUUAUAGCUGCAACUUGCAAGCCACCGAUUGAUUGUUCCGCAAAAGACCCUUAAAUUCGCUGCCCUUCUGAGUAAGAGAGGACUCUACUCUCACUUCACCUAGGCUCUUCCUCUACAGGCUUCAAAACAAUUCGAGUCAUGGCUUCUACUGGAGUUGAUGAGCCUGUUGUUUCUGUUGAUUGCCUUCAUUCUAAUCUUAGAAACCCUGAUUUGAACCCUUUGUUUUCUUCAAAACUUUUGUCUGUUAUGCUUAAAUGUACCUGUUUCUGUUCAGGUUUUGGAUGCGUCGUGGUACAUGCCUGAUGAUCCAAGAAUAUCAGGUUGCUCAUAUUCCCGGUCCUCUCUUCUUUGAUUUAGAUCGAACAACAAGUGGGCUUCACCGGCUGGGGGAAACUGAAGUGCCAGUGUAUGAUGGAUCGUGGACUGAAUGGGCAACAGAACCAGACUUACCCAUGGAAGGUGAAGGUGAUGAAUCUUCUUCAUGAAAGUCCUAACAAAAGCCACUUAUUCAGUUAUGAUUGGCUUGUCGCUAUCAAACAUACCAUUAGUCUGUGUUCUCUUUCCAAUAAAUCAGCAAACUUAAAUUUGUUUAUCCUAAAACAUAAAACUCGAAACCAUUACGUACAAAGUGCAGUAAAGUCAGUAUAGUAGCGAAAAGUUAAUAAACAAGAUGGCCGCGUGGCCUAAUGGAUAAGGCGCUCGCCCACCGUGGUCGUUUUUAAUUUUUUUUAUAGGCAUUUCAAUGAAUAGCUGAAUAUACCAGUUGGCCCAAAAGUAGGCUUUAAUGACUGAAUAAUUGAUACAUCAACAUAGACCAUAUAUUUACAGUAGUAUAGAAAAAGAGAUCUAGCCAGUAGCGGUAACACCGAAGGUCCAAAGUCCUCCUGUUUCUUGUCUUGAAGCCUUUUAACUUGUAUUGCAGCUUCGUCUAUGUUCUGUCAUACUUCCCAGUUAAAACAACUGGAGGGUUUAACAGCCUCAAGAUUAGUCGCCUUCAGAAGGUCUGGAAACUGGGUUGGGCGCUUUCAGCUUGUGAGGUUUAGGCUACGUAAGUUUCCAAGGCCUCUUGCUGCACCAUGGAAAAAUAUCAGGAAGACUGAUUCAAGAGGAGACAUCUUCUUGAGAUAGUACUGAAUCGAAAUGGUACCUGCCUUCCUUUCCAAACUGUUUCUGUUGAGCUCAACUAGAAAGCUAGUACAAAACCGAAGCCGUAACGAUUUCAGAUGAUAAGCAUCCUGGUGAAGCUAUGGGAGGUAGUGAAGACCAUCGAACAUCCUUCCUUGUUCUGCUCUCUCUCAAUCGCUGGUAUUGCUUUGUAUAGAAGUUUGCAUUUUAAAUGUUGAAAAUGCAAACAUGAGAUACAGGGACUGGGGCUCAAGAAAGAUUCUCUGCUUACCAUAUUGGAGGAGAAAACGUGUUUUGAUAUCUUGGAGCAUGUCAUCAUAAACCCAUACCCCCACACUUCUCCAUUAGAGCUACAAUCUCGGGUCUGGUGGGCAAAGCUCUGCGACUGGAAGACACCAAAAAAAGGUCUAGCGGCACACUGUUGAAACAAAGCGCCGUGUAAAGAAAAUCUGCACAAGUACAUGAGUGGCACACCGUACCCUCACAGUCGCUAGGACACACUUCCGACCAUAUUCUGACAAAGGCGAGAUUCAUAUGCCCUGUGUUACCAUCCAUCAAACCAGAAAAAAACGAGGCAAAUGAUGAAACCAUGCAGUAGUAGUGCACAAGAAAAGAGCAUCAUGUCGAGAGCGAAACUCUUCCACAAAACCAAAUACAAAACAGAUGUACUAAGAUGAUACUGACUACGUGAUAUUACUGCAAACCUAGAGGAAGACAAAAAAGGCACCAGCUUCUUGGUAAACACCUUCAGAGUAGUCAACAUAUACAGAAGCAAACGCCACCGUAUUUGAGCUUCAUCCAUCCCAGCCAUAUCAAAUCACCGAAGACUAUAUCCAAUAGAAGAAUGUCCAGAGCAAGAUGUUUUCAUAUCAGAAAGAAAGGAAAGAGCAAAUCUCAAAGAGUUUGUUACCUUGUCACUAUCUCAAGGAAAGAGCAAAUCUCAAAUAUCCAUGAUAUUCCAUCCUCCAAAUCUAUAGCAAAUACACAUUACUACAUUACCCUUCCGUGAGCCAAAUAACGUGUAACUCGAGAAUUCAAAAAAUCAGGACAAGGAAAGAGAGGAUGGGGACUGACAAACCCGAAGAAGCUAAGCUUACUUCCCGUGAAGGCCAGCCAACAAAAUUAACUAACCAGAGACACUCUUGUGAAACCAUAGGUUACUUCCCUCAAAGCCAACAAAACACCAGACUACUGAACUGUAGAAGAUUUUGUCCAAAGCAAAACGUUUCCAUAACAAAAAAACGACGAAUAGGACUCGGAAGAACUUCAACGUUACCUUGACUCCCUGGAGCAAAAAAACUGAAAUACAUUGUAUUGCAUCCUCAAAACCUUCCUUUAGCAGAUAUUUAUUAACCUUCAGAGAGCAGCAAAACAAGUGUUACCAAUAUCAACUAUCAACCCCCAAGAUAAGUAGCCUAGCAAAAUAGGAAACAAGGGAACAUGGCCGAGAAAACCGACAGACUAAAUACGACUUCUUGCAGAGGAAACCGAAGCUUUCUUCCCUCGAAGUCAACCAAUCACCGGACUCAACUGUAGAAAAGGGUAUCCAAAGCAAAACAUCUCCAUAACAAAAAGGAAGAUCAAAACUCAGAAGAACUUCAACGCUACCUUGUCUCACCGAAGCAACGUUAGCGUGUUCCCAAAUAUCAAUGAAGCCUCCCAAAAAAACGAGGAAGAAGGCACCUGAAGCUUACUGCCCAGCAAACAAUAAUAGUAAACACAAACCAACAGGGAGGGUAACAAUCCAAAGUUCCUGGACAACAUUAAUUUACUUUCCGUUCAAUUACUCCAUAAUGAGUUCCACCAGCAAGUAAAAUAAGACCUUCCCCUUGCACCAUCUAAAUUCCUAUUCAAAAAAUUAGUUCAUAGGAAAGAGAAGCCAUCAUCUCAAACAGACGUACUAAUAUCAUUGAAGAGAUGCAGUAAAGAAAAUAUCAGAAAGGAGCCAAAACAGAGAGGAGAA
Brassica napus (rape) is the source of this 3258-nucleotide long non-coding RNA. RefSeq lists it as uncharacterized. The record is from RefSeq and is a predicted model, not a curated record. The transcript has 4 exons. NCBI's taxonomy places the organism in Eukaryota, Viridiplantae, Streptophyta, Magnoliopsida, Brassicales, Brassicaceae.